UAUGUAAAAAAACAAAAAAAAAGUUACUAAUUGGAAAAAAUUAAAAUAGAAAAAAAAAAAGAAUAAGACCAAGCACCUGGCUCAUCAAGAAAUGGCAUGUGCACAGGCCUUUUAUUGUUUUUUAGGUUAAUGGAGGGACCUUUUAUUUUUUUUAAGUUAAAGGAGAGACCAACAUGUCAUCUGCCUCAAUUUCUUUAAAAAAUAUAGACGACAUGUCAUCAGGAUUCCUAGAUCCCAGCCAUUGUGAUGGUCGGAAAAAUAGGGUUCAAUUGUUUUCACCCAAAAACUAAUUUUCAACCCAUUUUUUACCAAAAAACACUUAGAAAACACCAUAAAAACCUUGUUAAACCAAUCUAUGGCCUCAAAAAACAUAAAAAAAAGGGCUCGAAACCCAAAAUCAACCUAAAACAAAAAAUCUUCUUGAGCUAUGAUCUAUUUUUUAGGCACUUUCAAGGUAAAAAAAAAAACAAAAACUCAUAGUUCGAACUCCUCUUAUUAUGUGGAACCAUUUGGCAUAAACAUUUACCGUUUUAGUGGCCAAAAUCAUCGCCAACAAUAAUUCUCUCUCUACACUGAAAUCUGGUGAGUAGCUCUCUCCUACAACCCAGAAUUGAAUUUUUUAACAUUAAAGGGAUUGGUCACCUUAGAGCCAAAAAAGAUGGUGGACAAAAAUGAACUUUUAAGACAAAUUUCAAAGCCGCCUAUUUUACCUGCUUUUUUCACUUCAAUCCUCUAUCUUUCAAUUCAACUCUCUCCCAAAAAAAGAACCAAUUGAAUGCUAAUUUGGGCUCAAAAUGGCUAAAUUGUGUGAAAUAAGAACCAAAUUGAAAAUGUAAAAAGAAAAAUCAUUACUCCAAUCCAUAGUGAUCAGUAAAAUAAUGAAUAGUAUUUGUGCUAUAGUAAAAAAAGAAGCUCUUCUAGUAUAUAAUUAAUAUAUUAGUUUACCUUUGGAUUGAGUUUGUUAAUGACUUUAUGACAAUGAAUUGCAUCCAUUACUUAUUCUUGUUCCUCCUUCUUCCCCCAUCUCUUAGAGCAAUUGAUCGCAACAACAUGCAAUGUCAACUCUUAUAAAAAGGUUUUUUUAAGCAAUUUUUUUUAUAUUUAAUUUUUUUCAUGUUCACUUAUUUCUAGUUUUUAUUUAACUUCUAAUGUUUUAUUUAUGGAUUCUUGUUCGAAGAAGCUAAAUUUGAAAUUGAGUAGUUUUUUCUUAUAAAAAAUAUUGAUGAAUGGUUUGGUUUUUGUAUUUAGUCACUUAGAUCAAAAGCAGGUUUUGAAAUCUUGCAGAAAGACUUUUCCUAUAGUAUCAUUUGUGUGGUAGCAAUGAGCACUAUCCAAGAGGACUUCAUUUCAAAUGAUGAGAUGACACUAACAUUAGAGGACCUAACAGAAAGAAUGUUGCAUGCCAAUUUAUGUUGUGAUGAACAGGUAUGUACUCUAGUUGAAUGAUGCCUUUGCAUGAAACUCACAUUUAAAGUAGAAAAUGGUCUUUUGUUGAAUUGUGAUGUUUUGAUUUGAUGGCAAAAUGAUUUCAGUGCGAGUAUUUUGGAGAUCAAAGUCCUAUAGUGCUCACACUUGGAGUGCUUUAACAUAGAAGUUAGGAAGAUAUCAAUGAUCUUAUACGGUUUCCUCCACUGGUUCAGCAUUGCAUAUAUUAGCAAAAGAUAAUGAUUCUGGGAUUUGGUUUAUUAUAUCUCUUCCUCAAGGCACGUCCUUGUUUGCUUGGGUAUGAAUAGUUGUUUCUAGUUACUUAAGAGUGAGUCUUUUGUACAUGGAGUGGAAGUUUGGGAUUUGUAGAUGAGGUCCUGUUUUUGUAUGUAAAGGCCUGUUGAGGUAUUUCAUCAGAUUCUCAGCAGCAUAGUUGUGAUUGAUUUGCAAAAGAGGUUUGUAUUGUGAAUCACUGGAUGUUUUGUUGUUAGGUAUGUGCUCGCUGUGGAAAAUAUUGCUAACUCAGCAGUGCUUGAGUUUUUUAGUUAUUAAGUAUCUUGCUUAGUUGCAUUAGAUUUUUCUACUAGGCUUCUUUAAUGACUUUCCUAGUGGUACUAGCAUAGCAAGGUGAAAAACAAUUCAAGAAUCAAAAUAUUGAAUUCAAGCAUCUUGACGUAAGAACUUAAUUUUAACAUGGAUUCGACAAAAAAAAUAAACCAAAGGCAAAUCACGCACUAAGAACACGUCAAAUAAAAUCACAACAUGCAUAUAAUUUUAAAAUUAGGUUUCAAAACUAAAAGCAAUAAACAUGCACACAAUUUUGAAUUCAACAAUCACAUAAAAAAAUCCCAACACGGCAUGU
This is a long non-coding RNA of Populus euphratica (Euphrates poplar), 2287 nucleotides long. RefSeq lists it as uncharacterized. Lineage: Eukaryota; Viridiplantae; Streptophyta; Magnoliopsida; Malpighiales; Salicaceae. The transcript is spliced from 2 exons. The record is from RefSeq and is a predicted model, not a curated record.